GUGUACUUUGUACUCCAUAGGUAAUUUUUCAUCUCUUGCCCUCUCCCUGCCCGUGUCUUAUGAGUCUCCAAUGUCCAUUACAUAGAAUUUUAAAAGAAGUUGGAGAAAUUAUGAUAAGAUUUUCACUGUUAAUCUGAGUGACAGAAAAAAAUGGACAUUUAUUAAGAAAAUGAGGUGUUUUGGUAUCUUUUUUAGUAUAUUCUAGCUGCCCCUAAAUGAUUUUUUAAAAAGCAAAGUGUGCAUGGAGAGAAAGUGAAUGUCAUGGAAACACUUUACAAGGAGCUUGUCAGAUUUUUAAACGAGUGGGAAGGCCCAGGAGAGCACAUCUGUGCGCCCUGCGGAACUGGCCCAGAGCCUGCAGGGCCUCCUGCUGGCUCCUUCAGCAGGGUUGCAGCUCACCCAGGACUGCACAGCUCCGGCUGCACCUCACACGGCCCCGCCCUGUCCUUGUGUUGCUGGGUGUGGGGCUGAGAAUAAGGAGGCAAGGUGACACCUGCUUUCUGGGAAGCCCGCUGUCAAUGUGCAAUAGAGGCUGACAAACAGGAUCCAUCCCAACCCCACCUGCAGUUCUCCGGCUCUCAGCUCUGGCAGAAACAGGAACCCCUGGCACUGCUGUUUCUCCUUUCUGCACACGGCCCUCCUCUCUUGCACUUGCCCUCUUUUCUCUCACCUUUCUCCAUCAAAAUCCACAUUUGGAAAUGGGUCUGAUAUCAGUCAUUUAGACCUAAAUUUCUCUGUGUGUUUCAUUUGCCCCUAACUGUGGCAAGAAAGUCAUUCCACGUCAAAGAAGCACCAGAUACCCUUGAGCACAAGUGGGGAGUUGGUAUUUUUCCAGUACAGGAUGCCAUUGCAAAAGGGAGGGAGACCCAGCAAUCCCUCUUCUGGGAAUAUAACCUAAGGACUUGCAAUCAGUAUGUUGAAGAGAUGUCUGCACUUGCAUGUUUGUUGCAGCACUAUUCACAAUAGCCAAGAUAUGGAUGCAAUGUCAGCAUCCACAAUUGGAUGAAUGGAUAAAGACAAUGUGCUCCAGCUGCUCUUUUACAUUGAAAGAAAUGGAGGCACAGAAAAGCAGAGCAACUUUUGCAGGGCCACACAGCCUAUCAUGUCAAAGAAGAUCAAGAACACUGAAG
Non-coding RNA from Microcebus murinus (gray mouse lemur), 1130 nucleotides. Lineage: Eukaryota; Metazoa; Chordata; Mammalia; Primates; Cheirogaleidae. The record is from RefSeq and is a predicted model, not a curated record.